Molecule: long non-coding RNA, 1103 nt
Filed under: Glycine max (soybean)
Lineage: Eukaryota; Viridiplantae; Streptophyta; Magnoliopsida; Fabales; Fabaceae
Description: long non-coding RNA (GMAX_LNC000899)
Source: RNAcentral
AAAAUUAUUGGCGUUUCCUUUUCAAGUGUCAUGCUUCUAGUGUUGCCUGCGCCUUGGCACCCCACUGUAACUGUUAAACAUCAUAGUAGAUGCUUGAGAGUUGAGAUAUGAAUUCAAUUUCAUAUGCUUGAAUUAGUCCAAAAUGCUUCCUAGCAAUUUUCAAGUACUAUGCAUGUGUAAGUGCAAGUUAAAAUAAAAAGAGAAAGAGAAGCACCUUAAUUUCAAUAAUCAAUUUAUACAUUAUCCUAAAUACAAUUUUUCAAGUACUAUUAUAUGCAAAUACCACAACUUUAAAUCAAAAUCAACAAAUAAAAAGAUGAAAUUGGGAAUUUGGAAUAUGAUCCUUCUUUUGUCGCCAAUCCUCAUCCCUGAUAAAAAAAAGUAAAAACAAAAGAAAACCACAAUAAGUAUAAUAAAGAAUAACAUUAGACAACAUAAAAUCUUAUUACAUAUAUUACCUUUGAUGAGUUGGCCUAAACCUGCAAAUGCAAAAUGAAUUAGGUGAAGCAUAUUAUUAUAUAAAGGAAAAUCUCAGCAAAAUCAACACAGUACACACCAACCAUUGUCGUAUCACCCUAGCCAUGAUAUUUAAGUUAUCCUCCACAAGAGAAAUUUACAAAAAUGGAUUCAAACUGGUUACCCACAACAUAUAUGUUUGAUCUCGCCAAGUAAUCAGUUAAGCAUAACCACGUGAGAGACGAAAAACUAUUUAAUAUAGCAAAAUUUGGAAAGCGAGAACUUAACCAUGGCGCUUGGGUUCCUCUCUUUUUUAUGUACCCGCUACCAAGAAGCUGACAUACCAGUUCAAUCAAACUUACCAUUAUAACUUGGGAAAGGCAUUGACCCCUCUUAAAGAUGAAGGUGUAUUGAUCAUGGGUUCACAAGUUGAGAGCACUUGAUCGUGAUCCUAAUGCCGCGGCUUCUCCAUGGGCUCUAGAAUUUGAUAAUUAGUCGAAAGAAGCUCUUCUUGAUGUUCAAAUUUGCAAAAUGCAUAGUUGACUUUGUUAUGGAUGUUAAGCCAUUCAAUGUCUUAGAGUUUGGCUCUUCAUUUUCAAUUGCCUUUCUAGAUACGAAGAUGUAAAUCAUUAUUAUGAGCAGUGAAU